Molecule: ribosomal RNA, 261 nt
Filed under: Harpactocrates ravastellus
Lineage: Eukaryota; Metazoa; Arthropoda; Arachnida; Araneae; Dysderidae
Description: partial 12S ribosomal RNA
Source: RNAcentral
UAAAACUAAAUCAAAGGAACUUGUUUUUUAAUCGACAAUACUCGAUAAAUUUUACUCUCUUUAAAAGCUUAUAUACCGCCGUUUAAACCUUUUUGUAAGAACUUUUUACAACCUUAUUUAAAACUUCAGGUCAAGGUGUAGCCCAUAUGAUAGAUAAAAUAAGUUACUAUAAACCCUAUUUAUGGAAAUAAAAAAAAUUUAAAUAAAACAGGAUUUAAAUUCAAUAGUUUAAUAAUAAAAAAUUAUGAAGUUCACUUGAAC